This 304-nucleotide ribosomal RNA is filed under the name uncultured bacterium. RNAcentral's name for it is "bacterial SSU rRNA". It matches the Rfam family "Bacterial small subunit ribosomal RNA", at positions 28 to 325 of the family's 1533-position model. The record is from RNAcentral.
GAUGAACGCUAGCGGCAGGCUUAAUACAUGCAAGUCGAGGGGCAGCAUGACUGUAGCAAUACAGUUGAUGGCGACCGGCAAACGGGUGCGGAACACGUACGCAACCUACCCAAAACUGAGGAAUAGCCCGGGGAAACCCGGAUUAAUACUUCGUAACAUAAUUGAAUGGCAUCAUUUAAUUAUUAUAGCUCCGGCGGUUUUGGAUGGGCGUGCGCCUGAUUAGGUAGUUGGUAGGGAACGGCCUACCAAGCCAACGAUCAGUAACUGGUGUGAGAGCACGACCAGUCACACGGGCACUGGAGAC